CGACAGGUUGAUAGCUCUUUCUUGAUUUGGUGGGUGGUGGUGCAUGGCCGUUCUUAGUUGGUGGAGUGAUUUGUCUGGUUAAUUCCGAUAACGAACGAGACUCAGGCUUACUAACUAGUGAACAGAUUACUUUGUCUGUGACACUUCUUAGAGGGACAAACGGUGUUCAGCCGUAUGAAAUUGAGCAAUAACAGGUCUGUGAUGCCCA
Molecule: ribosomal RNA, 208 nt
Filed under: Calomicrolaimus parahonestus
Lineage: Eukaryota; Metazoa; Nematoda; Chromadorea; Desmodorida; Microlaimidae
Description: partial small subunit ribosomal RNA
Rfam family: Eukaryotic small subunit ribosomal RNA
Source: RNAcentral